CCAUCGAUGGUGAUGAUGAGGGUCAAUUCCUCCUUCAAAUGGCUUGGAAAUUAUAUGAGAGAGAUAUGCACCUAGAGUUGGUGGACAAAACCUUAAGCCCUUUUGACUAUGAUGAAGAAGAA
Long non-coding RNA from Neltuma alba, 122 nucleotides. RefSeq lists it as uncharacterized. NCBI's taxonomy places the organism in Eukaryota, Viridiplantae, Streptophyta, Magnoliopsida, Fabales, Fabaceae. The record is from RefSeq and is a predicted model, not a curated record. The transcript is spliced from 2 exons.